AGGAUUCUAGCUUAAAGGUUAAAGCAAACCACUCAUAAUGGUGAAAUAAUGGUUCAAUUCCAUUGAAUCUUA
Molecule: transfer RNA, 72 nt
Filed under: Pneumocystis canis
Lineage: Eukaryota; Fungi; Ascomycota; Pneumocystomycetes; Pneumocystales; Pneumocystaceae
Description: tRNA-Met
Rfam family: tRNA
About the family: Transfer RNA (tRNA) molecules are approximately 80 nucleotides in length. Their secondary structure includes four short double-helical elements and three loops (D, anti-codon, and T loops). Further hydrogen bonds mediate the characteristic L-shaped molecular structure. tRNAs have two regions of fundamental functional importance: the anti-codon, which is responsible for specific mRNA codon recognition, and the 3' end, to which the tRNAs corresponding amino acid is attached (by aminoacyl-tRNA synthetases). tRNAs cope with the degeneracy of the genetic code in two manners: having more than one tRNA (with a specific anti-codon) for a particular amino acid; and 'wobble' base-pairing, i.e. permitting non-standard base-pairing at the 3rd anti-codon position.
Source: RNAcentral